GGAGAGGUGGCCGAGUGGCUGAAGGCGCACGCUUGGAAAGCGUGUAGGCGGGCAACCGUCUCGAGGGUUCGAAUCCCUCCCUCUCCGCCA
Molecule: transfer RNA, 90 nt
Filed under: Oligoflexia bacterium
Lineage: Bacteria; Pseudomonadati; Bdellovibrionota; Oligoflexia
Description: tRNA-Ser
Rfam family: tRNA
About the family: Transfer RNA (tRNA) molecules are approximately 80 nucleotides in length. Their secondary structure includes four short double-helical elements and three loops (D, anti-codon, and T loops).
Source: RNAcentral